UGCUUAUGAGGGUUGUUCUUUCUACAGCUCUACUUACUCCAAGAAUAGUAAUGUGGGCCGUGGGAAGCAAUGCGCUGGCGUGAGCUGUAUGCCAUGGACGGCUGAGGCACAGGGAGGAGAAGAUGUGAACCAAAAGGCUCUGCCCUGAAUAAAGUCAGGCGCAUCCUUUGAUCCUCUGUGUCCGACUGGUUUCUCUUCUGAGUCUUAGCAAACAACCUGAAAGUGCUUCUGGAGACAACGUCUCUGCCUGCCAAGAUGUCAUCACCUUGCUCUGUGCUCUAGGACUGCCACGGUUCUCUCCAGCCCCUUUAGGCAUUCCUGCUUGAAGAUUAACCCUACAGUCUCAUGCUGGACAACUUAAUUCAGCUGAGGAGAAACAGCAGUACAUGACAGAUAAGAAAAGCCUGUUUUCCUCUUACGCUUCGGAUUUUGGAUCAAUGCUAGAGGCUGCAAAACUAACCCAAGGAAGGAAAA
This 474-nucleotide long non-coding RNA is filed under the name Gallus gallus (chicken). Lineage: Eukaryota; Metazoa; Chordata; Aves; Galliformes; Phasianidae. The record is from RNAcentral.